AUUAGUGUGAGUUUAAUUAAUUUUUUAUAAAAUUUUCUCGAAAAAUAAAGAGUAAUAAAUUAUUUUGUAUUUGUUGUUGAAUUAACAUUAAAAAUUAUUUAUAGAAUUGAGAUUUUAUUCGAUUUAUUUUAUAUCUAGUUAAAUUAAAAAGGUUUAUCCUUGCUAUCAUAGUAUUGAUUGAGUUUUAAAAAUAUAUUUUAAUUAAUUGAUUGUUAAAUUUAAGGGGGCUAUCUCUUAAUUUAGUUAUCUAUAUCUUUAUAUAUUAUUUAGUUAAAUUUUCGCUUAAGAACAGCUUUAAUAUAAUAAGUUUAAUUUAAUAACUAAUUUAAUGGGAUUUUUAAAAAAAGUUUAGUUAUAUUUUAUUUGUCGGUUUAAAUUAAUAAAAUUUAUUAAUAAUUAUUCAAUUAGUAGAAUUUUUUAAAAUAAAUUAAAAAUAUAAUAAAUAAAAAUAAAUUAAUUCGACAAAUUAAGUCACGAUUGUUUAACAAAAACAUUUCUUUUUUAUAAAAUAAAAAGUAUAACCUGCCCACUGAAAAUUUAAGGGCCGCGGUAUUAUGACCGUGCAAAGGUAGCAUAAUCAUUAGCCUUUUAAUUAGAGGAUUGUAUGAAUGGUUGAACGUGGCUUUGUUUUAUUUAUUUAAAUAUAUUGAAAUAAAAUUUUAAGUGAAAAUGCUUAAAUGACUAAUUAGACGAUAAGACCCUAUAGAGCUUUAUAUAUGUAUUCUGUUAAGUAUUAAAAUUUUUAUUGGUUAAUAACCAGGUUGUAUAUUUUAUUGGGGCAAUAAAAGAAUAAAAUUAACUUCUUAUUAAUAAAUUUUAUUUAAUUAAUUAACUUUUAAUAUAAAAUUUAAUAGAAGUUACCUUAGGGAUAACAGCGUUAUUAAAGUUGAGAGUUCUUAUCGACACUUUAGAUUGCGACCUCGAUGUUGAAUUAAAAAUUCUUUGAGGGGCAGCAUUUUUAUUAGAUGGUCUGUUCGACCAUUAAAUUUUUACAUGAUUUGAGUUCAAACCGGUGUGAGCCAGGUUGGUUUCUAUCUUUUAGUUUAAUUUUAGUGUUUUAGUACGAAAGGAUUAAGCA
This 1078-nucleotide ribosomal RNA is filed under the name Folsomia candida. RNAcentral's name for it is "16S ribosomal RNA". The stretch from base 682 to 1042 matches the Rfam family "Archaeal large subunit ribosomal RNA", at positions 2149 to 2717 of the family's 2987-position model. The record is from RNAcentral. Lineage: Eukaryota; Metazoa; Arthropoda; Collembola; Entomobryomorpha; Isotomidae.